RNAcentral lists this long non-coding RNA (415 nucleotides) under Mytilus galloprovincialis (Mediterranean mussel). The record is from RNAcentral. Lineage: Eukaryota; Metazoa; Mollusca; Bivalvia; Mytilida; Mytilidae.
GUCUGUUUACAAGCGAUAUAUAUGCAUCGAGCUAUAUACAUGUGAUGAAGGAAUCCCGAGGAUAUGUAUUUUGCAACAAUUGACAUGCUUGGGCAGUGACAAAUAUUUGAAAUAUAUACUUUGGUGGCCUUCGGCUGUUGUCUGCUCUAUGGUCGGGUUGUUGUCGCUUUGACACAUUCCCUUUUUCCAUUCUCAAUUGUAUUUCAAGUUAAAAGAUUAUGCCGGAUGAAAUACAGUUUGUUUGUCAAAAAUAUAUUAAGCAGCAUGUUAUCAGUCUAUUUUUUUUUAAAUAAAAAGUAAAACAUCAAAGACAGCUUUUAAAAAAAAAAGUAGCAAAUCUUUAACGUUGUGUACAGAAGUGGGUUAAAAAAAUAGAAAAGCGACGUCGAGUAACGUUACCAUUACUAAACCGAAC